AUGAGACUCGGGCAGGGGCACACCUCGCACUUCCUUUCUCCUCUGUUUUACGUUUAUUUUUCCUCCCUAACGCAACCUAGCGCUGGAACCGAGAGGGGCCGACCGAUUGCGGUGACUGCGUUUCUCCCGUGUAGAUGCUACCGCAGUCGCCGACGUCCCUUUUCAAAGGAUGCAAGCUCCCCGCCGGGAGCCGGAGGUGUUCUGCGGCCGUUCUGCCAGAGGCGCGGAGACCUCUGUAGUGGUCCUAGCAGGGAUGCCCAGCUCGUACUGAUCACAGCGCUCUCCUUCCUCCUGGACUCUAUGGCAUUUGUUGUAGACGACCAGGAGGAAUUCUCCCUCACUGGGAAGGGAAGGGCACAGGACUGCCUCUUCUUCCUCUGCUGUGUCCUCCUCUCCUUCUCCCUUCGCAAGCUCCUGUUCGCUGAGCAUCCUCCUGGCUAAGGCACUGAGCCAAGACCUGGGAGUGUGGAGGGGACACGAAGAUGAC
Molecule: long non-coding RNA, 487 nt
Filed under: Chinchilla lanigera (long-tailed chinchilla)
Lineage: Eukaryota; Metazoa; Chordata; Mammalia; Rodentia; Chinchillidae
Description: lncRNA (ENSCLAG00000028437.1)
Source: RNAcentral